AAUACUCUUCCUUUCGUGUUUUGAUAUCUGAUUGUUUUGCUACUCUCACUUUGGAGUUCGGAUGGUGUCUAGCAACGUUGGGUACCUCGUUUCUUGUGUGAGCGAGUGGUUGCUGUUUACGACGUGUUCAUAUAUCGAUUUGUAGUGCUGUAAUGUGCAAAUUAGCGGACUUUAUAGCGGCUCUCUAUUUUCCGUCGUUGUCUUUUGAGCAGCGCCUGUUGUUCCGGUAAAAAUCGAGUUGAAUGAAUCGCCACAGCCCCAACGUAUAUCGCGCAGUGUUGACCAAGUCAAGCAGGAAUUCUGGCAUGGUAUGUGGCUGCACGGAGGAUUCCGAAAAAGAAAAACAACAACAUGGCUAAUAGGAUGUUGCUGCCCAGGGAGUCCUGGCCGAAGAGGUUUACUCAUUCCAGAAGCAAGAAUUGUACCAUUGUAAGGCGAAUGGAAAUAAACUGACAUCGAC
This is a long non-coding RNA of Ornithodoros turicata, 460 nucleotides long. RefSeq lists it as uncharacterized. Lineage: Eukaryota; Metazoa; Arthropoda; Arachnida; Ixodida; Argasidae. The record is from RefSeq and is a predicted model, not a curated record. The transcript is spliced from 3 exons.